This 805-nucleotide long non-coding RNA is filed under the name Ictidomys tridecemlineatus (thirteen-lined ground squirrel). Its description in RNAcentral is "lncRNA (ENSSTOG00000030993.1)". The record is from RNAcentral. Lineage: Eukaryota; Metazoa; Chordata; Mammalia; Rodentia; Sciuridae.
UGUUACAGUUCCUUGUGUUCCAAUUUUCAACACAGCUGGACACUUUUUGUUGGAAAAAAAAAAAGUGAAUUCAUUUUAAACAGGACUGUAAAACGGUGAUAAAGAGAAUGACUGGAGAAACCAACCAUGAUGGGAAACUAAAUGUCCCAGGGAAACACUUGAAAGCCUUUUUAGUGCGAGAAAUAUGUGCUCCAGAAUUGAAUCUAAGAUAACAGAAACCGCUAUGAUGUGGAUUAAGGAAAUAGAAGCCUCAGAUCACUGCGAGUCAAAUUCCAAUGGAUCUGACUCCCUUGGAGCAGGUAACAGAACAGCAUUCCUCCUGUUUGCCUGGCGAUUCAGAUAGAUUGCAAGCUGCAUGAGGUUAAGAACCCUUUCUACUCCUGUUUGCUACUCUAGCCUCAGCCCAGCGUCUCUUAACAGUCACAGCACAACCAGGGAACCCAGGAAUGAACGUUCCUAAAAAAGGUUGCACUCCGAGAAGGUCAUCCAAUGUCCUACAAUCAGACAAAUGGAAAGACAACUGAUAAGGAGAUUCAUCCUACUUCCACUGCCAUUUUGCAAUUUUCCCAGGAUUGAAACUGUCUAAUAUAUAUAUACAUAGUAAGAAGACAGGAGAAUAUAAAAUACAGGAAUUGAAGGAAACCAGAAUACAGCACCUGGAAAUGGUACACUGGCUUAAGAACUAUUUUGAGCCAAAGGCAGUUAAAAAGCAACAAACCUACAAAGCCCCCAUAUCACCUUCUUUCUGCCUAAAAAUGGGAGAUGCAUUUCCCCUUAUAAUGUUCUCCUCCCCUCUUCUGUGUCA